GUGUCUUUAAAUUGCGGAGAAUACAGAGAACAUGUAGAAAACCUAUCAUUUAUGCAAAGAAAUCUCUUACAAAUUGUUACUAUUGACAACGACCCUUUUAGCUUCUUGCUGCUACCAUUGAAUGGAAUCCCAUGCCUUCCAUUAUCUCCAGCAUAGCCUUCUGAUAAUCAGGUAGAAACUUCUCUUCUAAUAAUGGUUUUUUCAAACGGAAUUACGGAUGCUCCAUUCUAUUAGAUACACACUUAUCCUUUGCUCUGUUCAGUGCCUUCUUCACCUUUUAGAGGACUUCCUGUUGGUGACCCUUCAACACUUCCUCCCUCUCUUCAAACACCUGGCCCUGGGAAAAGACGUCAAACCCAUUCUGUAUGAAAAUUUUCACAUGCCUGAAUGGUUUCAGAUUCAUGGAUAUCCUUUAGCACAAGAUUUACGAGACGGAUAGUAGCUAGCAUGUUCGAGUGGAUCAUGCUAUGAAGUCAGUCUGCACAUUCUUUCCACUUAGAGCUUUAGUAGAUGAAGUAAGAAGAAAUUCAUGAAAUGUGUCCACAUUGUAUGUUAUUUCCAUCUUAGGUUGAAAUAAUGUCCUUCGCAAAUUGAAUACCAUAUUCCUGUUUACUUAGUUUAUAUUAGUAUAUACUCCAACACGAAAUUACAAGUCCUGUUAUCUGGGCAAACAAAUGGCCAUUGCAUGAACUCCAGUGGGCUGAUCCGUGGAAAGGAAAAGGCCCAUAAAAGGUUAUAACGAAGGAAAAUAAGGGCCUGUUUGUUUGGCAUCUUUUUGAACAGAACAGAAGUGACAGCGAUGACACAUUUUGAGUAGCAACAGAGAAGUUGCCAUUUGGCAUUGGAUAAGUUGAGACUUGAGACUGUAAGGAGGGAAGCGAUGGCGGUACAGCUCACCCAUCUUUACGGUACACCCAUAAGGCAACGGCCAACGCCGCCGCUCACCGGGCGGAGGACUGCCAUAUCUCAGGUGAGAGCCGUCGCCGAAAAUGCUCAGGAGCUCCUGAAGUCUGGCGAGGUUCAGGCAAUUAGGCCGAAGGAAGCAGUGACGGCCAUAGAUUCGGAGGGGUUUAGACUUUUGGACAUAAGACCGGCAUGGGAGUGGGAGAAAGCUAGAGUGAGAGGGUCAGUGCAUGUGCCGCUGUUUGUGAAGGACGAGGAUAAUGGUCCUAUUGGUCUUUUGAAGAAAUGGGUGCAUUUUGGCUACAUUGGACUUUGGACUGGCCAAUACCUGACGACCUUGAAUCCUGAUUUUAUUCGUGAAGUGGAGGCGGCUGUUCCUGAUAAGAACGCCAAGCUCCUUGUGGCUUGUGGCGAAGGGCUAAGGUCUUUGGUCGCAGUGGUGAAGUUGUACAAAGAAGGAUACAAGAACUUGGGGUGGCUGGCUGGAGGCUUCAAUCGUGCCAAUGAGAGCGACUUCCCGGCCGUCGAAGGGCCAGAGAAACUACAAUACGCAACAAUCGGAGGAGUUUCUUACUACUUCCUCCAAUUGCUUAUCCUCUUGCAAGCGGUGGGUAAGAACAGCUGAGACCAUCCAUAUUCGCUUCUAAUUCCUUUUGGGUUUUUUUUUUUNUUUUUUUUGUAUAAUUUCUCAAUUACAUUGUUCUGAAUCGAAGCUAAAUAGCUUGAAGCAAGUUGAAGGAAUGCAUGUAGGGAUUGUUGUCAUAAUCUUGAGAAAUCCAAUACAUUCAAAGGUGUAAAAAAUCCAUCAGAAA
This is an RNA transcript of Cucurbita moschata (crookneck pumpkin), 1715 nucleotides long. It is a transcript of the gene named rhodanese-like domain-containing protein 10, with no coding region annotated. The transcript is spliced from 3 exons. NCBI's taxonomy places the organism in Eukaryota, Viridiplantae, Streptophyta, Magnoliopsida, Cucurbitales, Cucurbitaceae. The record is from RefSeq and is a predicted model, not a curated record.